RNAcentral lists this ribosomal RNA (546 nucleotides) under uncultured Glomeromycotina. RNAcentral's name for it is "SSU rRNA". It matches the Rfam family "Eukaryotic small subunit ribosomal RNA", at positions 548 to 1098 of the family's 1831-position model. The record is from RNAcentral. Lineage: Eukaryota; Fungi; Glomeromycota.
UUGGAGGGCAAGUCUGGUGCCAGCAGCCGCGGUAAUUCCAGCUCCAAUAGCGUAUAUUAAAGUUGUUGCAGUUAAAAAGCUUGUAGUUGAAUUUCGGGAUUAGUACGUUGGUCGUGCCUUCGGUACGUACUGGUGUUACUGAUUCCUACCUUCUGACGAACCAUCAUGUCAUUAAUUUGGUGUGGCGGGGAAUCAGGACUGUUACUUUGAAAAAAUUAGAGUGUUUAAAGCAGGCUCGCGCUUGAAUACAUUAGCAUGGAAUAAUGAAAUAGGACGUUGACCCUAUUUUGUUGGUUUCUAGGAUUGACGUAAUGAUUAAUAGGGAUAGUUGGGGGCAUUAGUAUUCAAUUGUCAGAGGUGAAAUUCUUGGAUUUAUUGAAGACUAACUACUGCGAAAGCAUUUGCCAAGGAUGUUUUCAUUAAUCAAGAACGAAAGUUAGGGGAUCGAAGACGAUCAGAUACCGUCGUAGUCUUAACCAUAAACUAUGCCGACUAGGGAUCGGAUGAUGUUAUUUUUAAUGACUCAUUCGGCGCCUUACGGGAAAC